Molecule: ribosomal RNA, 429 nt
Filed under: Actinomycetes bacterium
Lineage: Bacteria; Bacillati; Actinomycetota; Actinomycetes
Description: Actinobacteria bacterium partial 16S ribosomal RNA
Rfam family: Bacterial small subunit ribosomal RNA
Source: RNAcentral
UAGGGAAUCUUCCGCAAUGGGCGAAAGCCUGACGCAGCAACGCCGCGUGAGUGAUGAAGGUCUUCGGAUCGUAAAACUCUGUUAUUAGGGAAGAACAAAUGUGUAAGUAACUAUGCACGUCUUGACGGUACCUAAUCAGAAAGCCACGGCUAACUACGUGCCAGCAGCCGCGGUAAUACGUAGGUGGCAAGCGUUAUCCGGAAUUAUUGGGCGUAAAGCGCGCGUAGGCGGUUUUUUAAGUCUGAUGUGAAAGCCCACGGCUCAACCGUGGAGGGUCAUUGGAAACUGGAAAACUUGAGUGCAGAAGAGGAAAGUGGAAUUCCAUGUGUAGCGGUGAAAUGCGCAGAGAUAUGGAGGAACACCAGUGGCGAAGGCGGCUUUCUGGUCUGUAACUGACGCUGAUGUGCGAAAGCGUGGGGAUCAAACAGG